This 1509-nucleotide ribosomal RNA is filed under the name Helicobacter pylori. Its description in RNAcentral is "bacterial SSU rRNA". It matches the Rfam family "Bacterial small subunit ribosomal RNA". The record is from RNAcentral. Lineage: Bacteria; Pseudomonadati; Campylobacterota; Epsilonproteobacteria; Campylobacterales; Helicobacteraceae.
UUUUAUGGAGAGUUUGAUCCUGGCUCAGAGUGAACGCUGGCGGCGUGCCUAAUACAUGCAAGUCGAACGAUGAAGCUUCUAGCUUGCUAGAAGUGGAUUAGUGGCGCACGGGUGAGUAACGCAUAGGUCAUGUGCCUCUUAGUUUGGGAUAGCCAUUGGAAACGAUGAUUAAUACCAGAUACUCCCUACGGGGGAAAGAUUUAUCGCUAAGAGAUCAGCCUAUGUCCUAUCAGCUUGUUGGUAAGGUAAUGGCUUACCAAGGCUAUGACGGGUAUCCGGCCUGAGAGGGUGAACGGACACACUGGAACUGAGACACGGUCCAGACUCCUACGGGAGGCAGCAGUAGGGAAUAUUGCUCAAUGGGGGAAACCCUGAAGCAGCAACGCCGCGUGGAGGAUGAAGGUUUUAGGAUUGUAAACUCCUUUUGUUAGAGAAGAUAAUGACGGUAUCUAACGAAUAAGCACCGGCUAACUCCGUGCCAGCAGCCGCGGUAAUACGGAGGGUGCAAGCGUUACUCGGAAUCACUGGGCGUAAAGAGCGCGUAGGCGGGAUAGUCAGUCAGGUGUGAAAUCCUAUGGCUUAACCAUAGAACUGCAUUUGAAACUACUAUUCUAGAGUGUGGGAGAGGUAGGUGGAAUUCUUGGUGUAGGGGUAAAAUCCGUAGAGAUCAAGAGGAAUACUCAUUGCGAAGGCGACCUGCUGGAACAUUACUGACGCUGAUUGCGCGAAAGCGUGGGGAGCAAACAGGAUUAGAUACCCUGGUAGUCCACGCCCUAAACGAUGGAUGCUAGUUGUUGGAGGGCUUAGUCUCUCCAGUAAUGCAGCUAACGCAUUAAGCAUCCCGCCUGGGGAGUACGGUCGCAAGAUUAAAACUCAAAGGAAUAGACGGGGACCCGCACAAGCGGUGGAGCAUGUGGUUUAAUUCGAAGAUACACGAAGAACCUUACCUAGGCUUGACAUUGAGAGAAUCCGCUAGAAAUAGUGGAGUGUCUGGCUUGCUAGACCUUGAAAACAGGUGCUGCACGGCUGUCGUCAGCUCGUGUCGUGAGAUGUUGGGUUAAGUCCCGCAACGAGCGCAACCCCCUUUCUUAGUUGCUAACAGGUCAUGCUGAGAACUCUAAGGAUACUGCCUCCGUAAGGAGGAGGAAGGUGGGGACGACGUCAAGUCAUCAUGGCCCUUACGCCUAGGGCUACACACGUGCUACAAUGGGGUGUACAAAGAGAAGCAAUACUGCGAAGUGGAGCCAAUCUUCAAAACGCCUCUCAGUUCGGAUUGUAGGCUGCAACUCGCCUGCAUGAAGCUGGAAUCGCUAGUAAUCGCAAAUCAGCCAUGUUGCGGUGAAUACGUUCCCGGGUCUUGUACUCACCGCCCGUCACACCAUGGGAGUUGUGUUUGCCUUAAGUCAGGAUGCUAAAUUGGCUACUGCCCACGGCACACACAGCGACUGGGGUGAAGUCGUAACAAGGUAACCGUAGGUGAACCUGCGGUUGGAUCACCUCCUUUCUAGA